RNAcentral lists this ribosomal RNA (117 nucleotides) under Chrysemys picta bellii (western painted turtle). The record is from RNAcentral. Lineage: Eukaryota; Metazoa; Chordata; Testudines; Emydidae.
GCCUGCAGCUAUACCACCUUGUGCUCUGCUUCUGUAAGCUCUCAUAAGCUAAAAAGGGCUGGGCGGGGCCAGUACUUGGUUAGGUGACCUCCAAGGAAGACCUAGGUGCUGCAAGAA